CAAAACAACCAUAUCGCCUUUUCUGAUGUCAGAAGCUAAGCGGGGUUGGGCCUGGUUAGUACUAGAUGGGAGACCACUGGAAAUACCACGUGCCAUAGUGG
RNAcentral lists this ribosomal RNA (101 nucleotides) under Periophthalmus magnuspinnatus. The record is from RNAcentral. Lineage: Eukaryota; Metazoa; Chordata; Actinopteri; Gobiiformes; Gobiidae.